RNAcentral lists this ribosomal RNA (488 nucleotides) under uncultured bacterium. RNAcentral's name for it is "bacterial SSU rRNA". It matches the Rfam family "Bacterial small subunit ribosomal RNA", at positions 565 to 1050 of the family's 1533-position model. The record is from RNAcentral.
GCGCACGCAGGCGGUCUGUUAAGCUAGAUGUGAAAGCCCCGCGCUCAACGUGGGAGGGUCAUUUAGAACUGGCAGACUAGAGUCUUGGAGAGGGGAGUGGAAUUCCAGGUGUAGCGGUGAAAUGCGUAGAGAUCUGGAGGAACAUCAAUGGCGAAGGCAACUCCCUGGCCAAAGACUGACGCUCAUGUGCGAAAGUGUGGGGAGCGAACAGGAUUAGAUACCCUGGUAGUCCACGCCGUAAACGAUGGUCACUAGCUGUUCGGACUUCGGUCUGAGUGGCUAAGCGAAAGUGAUAAGUGACCCACCUGGGGAGUACGUUCGCAAGAAUGAAACUCAAAGGAAUUGACGGGGGCCCGCACAAGCGGUGGAGCAUGUGGUUUAAUUCGACGCAACGCGGCAGAACCUUACCAACCCUUGACAUACUUGUCGCGGAUUCCAGAGAUGGAUUCCUUCAGUUCGGCUGGACAAUGUACAGGUGCUGCAUGGCU